RNAcentral lists this ribosomal RNA (469 nucleotides) under uncultured bacterium. RNAcentral's name for it is "partial 16S ribosomal RNA". It matches the Rfam family "Bacterial small subunit ribosomal RNA", at positions 28 to 508 of the family's 1533-position model. The record is from RNAcentral.
GACGAACGCUGGCGGCGUGCUUAACACAUGCAAGUCGAACGGAAAGGCCCUGCUUUUGUGGGGUGCUCGAGUGGCGAACGGGUGAGUAACACGUGAGUAACCUGCCCUUGACUUUGGGAUAACUUCAGGAAACUGGGGCUAAUACCGGAUAGGAGCUCCUGCUGCAUGGUGGGGGUUGGAAAGUUUCGGCGGUUGGGGAUGAACUCGCGGCUUAUCAGCUUGUUGGUGGGGUAGUGGCUUACCAAGGCUUUGACGGGUAGCCGGCCUGAGAGGGUGACCGGCCACAUUGGGACUGAGAUACGGCCCAGACUCCUACGGGAGGCAGCAGUGGGGAAUAUUGCACAAUGGGCGGAAGCCUGAUGCAGCAACGCCGCGUGCGGGAGGACGGCCUUCGGGUUGUAAACCGCUUUCGCCUGUGACGAAGCGUGAGUGACGGUAAUGGGUAAAGAAGCACCGGCUAACUACGUGC